Molecule: non-coding RNA, 918 nt
Organism: Chelonia mydas (Green sea turtle)
Lineage: Eukaryota; Metazoa; Chordata; Testudines; Cheloniidae
Source: the annotation of a RefSeq genome assembly
CGGUCCCUGCAAAAGUCAAAUCUGUGUCAUUCCCUCUGAGUCUUCGUGCCUGUUCCUAGCUGAUUUCCAGGAGGGAAGAUGAAAACUUUGCUUCUCUCUCUCCUUCUCUUUGCUAUUGCAGCAUGUGUCCGUUCCCAGGUUAAACUGCUGCAGACAGGAGCAGCCCAGCUGAAGCCCUCACAGACCCUGAGACUCACCUGCUCAGUCUCUGGAUUCUCUCUCACGUCUAGCGGGUAUGGAGUGAGCUGGGUUCGACAGCCCCCGGGGAAAGGCCUGGAGUGGUUAUCCAUUGUGUACUGGGAUGAUGACAAGGGCUACCACGAAUCCCUCAAAAACCGAUUGACCAUCUCCAGGGACACCUCUAAAAGCGAGGUGUAUUUGGAAAUGAGAGGCACGGAAGCCGGAGAGAGCGGCACCUAUUACUGCGCCAGGAGAGACACAGUGACCCAGAGCAGAGCAGGGACUGGUACAAAAAGGGGAAGCGGAUUCUGAGCUUUGCAGUGAGGCCAGAUUAACUCAGAGCAAGGAGGUUCCCCCAGCUAAACUCCCUGUAAAUGAAAAGAAAAUGCAGAGUAGGAGAAAACAGCUGCUUAUUUUUUUUCCUCUCAACUUGAUACUGCAGAAAGAGGAAUCGCGAGAAUCAGUGACACACACUGAAAAAAGCAAUCCGUUUAAUUCAACAUAUAUGACUUCCAGGCGUUUCACCAUUAAAUAUGUGAAUACAUCCAGCCGUUACCGAAUGGCAAAGAGAGGAGAGAGAGAGAGGUCUAUCCAUAAAUAUGUAUCAUAGAUAGAUAGAUAGAUAGAUAGAUAGAUAGAUAGAUAGAUAGAUACUGAAAUCAUGUUUUAGUUGUUUUAUAAAAUGCUUAGUACAGUUUUGGAUGUUGUAUCUGUAGGAAGAAAACAGCAAGAAAAAUG